RNAcentral lists this ribosomal RNA (1199 nucleotides) under Klebsiella pneumoniae. RNAcentral's name for it is "bacterial SSU rRNA". It matches the Rfam family "Bacterial small subunit ribosomal RNA", at positions 351 to 1533 of the family's 1533-position model. The record is from RNAcentral. Lineage: Bacteria; Pseudomonadati; Pseudomonadota; Gammaproteobacteria; Enterobacterales; Enterobacteriaceae.
GCAGUGGGGAAUAUUGCACAAUGGGCGCAAGCCUGAUGCAGCCAUGCCGCGUGUGUGAAGAAGGCCUUCGGGUUGUAAAGCACUUUCAGCGGGGAGGAAGGCGUUAAGGUUAAUAACCUUGGCGAUUGACGUUACCCGCAGAAGAAGCACCGGCUAACUCCGUGCCAGCAGCCGCGGUAAUACGGAGGGUGCAAGCGUUAAUCGGAAUUACUGGGCGUAAAGCGCACGCAGGCGGUCUGUCAAGUCGGAUGUGAAAUCCCCGGGCUCAACCUGGGAACUGCAUUCGAAACUGGCAGGCUAGAGUCUUGUAGAGGGGGGUAGAAUUCCAGGUGUAGCGGUGAAAUGCGUAGAGAUCUGGAGGAAUACCGGUGGCGAAGGCGGCCCCCUGGACAAAGACUGACGCUCAGGUGCGAAAGCGUGGGGAGCAAACAGGAUUAGAUACCCUGGUAGUCCACGCCGUAAACGAUGUCGAUUUGGAGGUUGUGCCCUUGAGGCGUGGCUUCCGGAGCUAACGCGUUAAAUCGACCGCCUGGGGAGUACGGCCGCAAGGUUAAAACUCAAAUGAAUUGACGGGGGCCCGCACAAGCGGUGGAGCAUGUGGUUUAAUUCGAUGCAACGCGAAGAACCUUACCUGGUCUUGACAUCCACAGAACUUAGCAGAGAUGCUUUGGUGCCUUCGGGAACUGUGAGACAGGUGCUGCAUGGCUGUCGUCAGCUCGUGUUGUGAAAUGUUGGGUUAAGUCCCGCAACGAGCGCAACCCUUAUCCUUUGUUGCCAGCGGUCCGGCCGGGAACUCAAAGGAGACUGCCAGUGAUAAACUGGAGGAAGGUGGGGAUGACGUCAAGUCAUCAUGGCCCUUACGACCAGGGCUACACACGUGCUACAAUGGCAUAUACAAAGAGAAGCGACCUCGCGAGAGCAAGCGGACCUCAUAAAGUAUGUCGUAGUCCGGAUUGGAGUCUGCAACUCGACUCCAUGAAGUCGGAAUCGCUAGUAAUCGUAGAUCAGAAUGCUACGGUGAAUACGUUCCCGGGCCUUGUACACACCGCCCGUCACACCAUGGGAGUGGGUUGCAAAAGAAGUAGGUAGCUUAACCUUCGGGAGGGCGCUUACCACUUUGUGAUUCAUGACUGGGGUGAAGUCGUAACAAGGUAACCGUAGGGGAACCUGCGGUUGGAUCACCUCCUUACCUUAAAGAA